RNAcentral lists this ribosomal RNA (189 nucleotides) under uncultured bacterium. RNAcentral's name for it is "partial 16S rRNA". It matches the Rfam family "Bacterial small subunit ribosomal RNA", at positions 338 to 524 of the family's 1533-position model. The record is from RNAcentral.
CCUACGGGAGGCAGCAGUAAGGAAUAUUGGUCAAUGGACGCAAGUCUGAACCAGCCAUGCCGCGUGGAGGAUGAAGGCCCUCUGGGUUGUAAACUUCUUUUAUUUGGGAAGAAACCCAUCUUUUCUAAGGUGGUUGACGGUACCAGAUGAAUAAGCACCGGCUAACUCCGUGCCAGCAGCCGCGGUAAU